UGUAGUUCCUUUACCCGACUUUCGUACCCAGACCGACCCAAGUCCAGGGCAGAAAACCCAGUACUGUUUAUUGCAAUAGUGUUACCGUCUCGUCUCAAAAGCAUCAGAUUAGCAGGUGGAUCGAAACGGUUCUGCAUAAUUUCGGCCACCUCGCGGCUUUUCCGCCUCCUCUCUCGCCUCGAUCGCUUGAGAACCACGAGAAAGAAGCAAUCCUUCUCAUAAGAAACCGCCGUGAAAUCGAUCUUUCCGGUGACGGGGAUUCUUGAGCCACGCCUCUUGCGGUCCGCGAGAUAAAUAGAGAACUGGUGAGGAGAGAGACCGAGUUUCUCAACGAUAAUCGAUUGGAAAACUUUGAAAUUCAAAGAAGGGGAAACGACGACGUCACCAAGGCUGGUCUCCUGUUCGCCGUCGAAGAACACAACCGGAAACGACGCUCCCUUGGCCUCCAUCAUCAUUGGCUAAAUAACGUCAAGAGAUUGGGUGAGUUUAAGGGUUUGAGGGCAUGAAAGCGAAGAGGAUUAGCUGGCAAAGUAUCAGAGAAGAGGGUUUAUAUAUAUAAAUGGCGGGUUUAGGCGAAAGGGGAUGAAACGGUAAAUGUAGAGAGGCGGUUAGGGUAUUUUCGGAAUAAAAAAAUUAGUAACCAGAGAGCGUGAGAGGAAACCAGGCGGUUUCGGUACAUUUACUGACUUGGUGACCAAGUAAGUUACGGGAAACUGCAAAAACGACGCGUAGCGAUGGGUUUGUGUGAGUUCCUACCAAAUCCCCAAGCAUAUCGCUUCUCGGGUCGAAAUUGCCCUCCAAAGUUUGGCAAAUUUGCGAGCGUGCCACUUUUGACGUGGAAGAAUAAACGCCGGAAAGUGGCUGCUUCGUUGUCUCUAACAGCCUUAUCAAUGGAAACGCCUCCUCAAGGGUACAGAAGGAAUGUUGGGAUUUGUCUCGUUAAUCCCUCCAAAAAGAUCUUUGCUGCUUCGAGGAUUAACAUACCGGACACAUGGCAAAUGCCUCAGGGUGGCGCUGAUGAAGGUGAGGACCUUAGGAAUGCAGCGAUGAGAGAAUUAAGGGAAGAAACAGGUGUUACUUCAACUGAGUUUCUUGCAGAGGCUCCAUACUGGCUG
RNAcentral lists this unclassified non-coding RNA (1115 nucleotides) under Hevea brasiliensis (rubber tree). Lineage: Eukaryota; Viridiplantae; Streptophyta; Magnoliopsida; Malpighiales; Euphorbiaceae. The record is from RNAcentral.